AAAUGUGUGGUCAAUGCAUGAUCAUGACUUCACAUAAUUUCUUAUGUGGAUUGGAGAUGGCGCUAAACCUACGAAAUCAAAGAAUAUGGUUAAAGUAUCCAACAAAGUAGAAAUACCAUGGUAGGAAAGAAGUUAUAUACAUAAUAUUAUACAACAUACAUUUUCCCAAUUAGAAAACCAUGUCUGGGAUGCAUCGUAUAUGGUAUAAACAACCAUAAUACUCCAAAUAAUCUUGACAUGCAAAUAUUGAAUGACAUAAUUAUUGACCAGUUUCCUGGAGAAGAACAUAAUUUGUUGUCAUUUGACGAGGUUGAAGGUGACACAAAUAACUUAUAUCAACAAGAAUACUUGUCGCGCCAUUUUUCGGAUGUCAAGGCCACUUGAUUGACUUUGACUCACUUUUUUACUCACGACUGAACAAUUUUUUUUUUAGGGGAAAAAGUUCCAAACAACCCAUUUCGAAGAGAUUUAGGGUUCGGGGGUUGGUUAUAUUUAGGGAAGGUGUUAGCACCCUAAAUAUUCGUAGUACUCUACGAGAACCUCUUGAUUUUAUUUAACUUCUUGUGCUAUAACUUGCUUGCUUUUGAAAAGAUGAAAAUGGAAUUGGAUGAUGAGUUGAAAAGGAAAAGAAAAUUGACUUUAAUUGAAGAGAAAAAAGGAAAAUGUUUUUUAAUUGAUUUGGAAGGACAAGGUCCUCUGCCUACGUACCCGUGAGGGAUCAAAACCUCGUAGUUCGGGGUAGAAAUUGACGUUUGAUUGGUUGAGUGUUUUUUAUUAGAUUUUGAAAAAAGGUUUUGAAAAUAAAAAGCCAAGUGGCAAAUGAGAAUUGAUUUGUGUUUUUUUAGAUUGAAGAAAAUUGACUUGAAGUUGAAUUAGAAUUGAUUGGAAAUUUGAUUAAGAAAAAUAAAAUAAGAAGACGGUCACUUGAUUUAAGAUCAAGGUUUAUUGUGAAAAGUUCUUUUUAUGAAUUUUUGAUAUUUGAAUGUUUUUGUUGUUUUUGAAUAAAAAUAUGAACAUUAUAUAAGCAGAAUGAGAAAAAUGAAGUUAAGCUAAAUUGUGAAAUUAUUUUAACAUGGACCAGAAUAUUCUGGAGAGUAAUUAAGUUAAACAAAAAUAAAUAAAUAUUAACAUUUAAGUUUGGACCAGAGCACUCUGGAUUAACAAAAAUAUAAUAUUAAUAGUUACUUUAGGACCAGAGCACUCUGGAUUAAUUUAAUUAACAAUGACCAGAGCACUCUGGAGAAUAAUUAAAUUAAACAAAAAUAUAAUAUUAAUAGUUAAUAUAGGACCAGAACACUCUGGAUUAAUUUAAUUAACAAGGACCAGAUUGUUCUGGAGAAUAACUAAAUUGAACAAGAAUAUAAUAUUAACAUGUAAUUAGGACCAGAGCACUCUGGAUUAAUAGAGAGAAAAAUAAAAAUGCAUGAAAAAGAAAUUAAAAGUGCGGGGGACCAGAGCACUCUGGAUUAAUAGAGAGAAAAUUAAAAAAUGCAUGAAAAGGAAAUUAAAAAAAAUGAGAUGCUGGGGUUAAGCAAGGAAUAAAAGGGGGUGCAGGAAUUAGAAAAGAGAAUUGGGCUUUAAGAAAUCUGAACCGGGUCGGUUCUACGGGUCGGUCCAUGGGUUGAACCAGUGAACAUGUAUAUAAGGGUUGUGGGUCACAAAAAUUGCCAUUUUUCAUUGUUUUUCUCUCUCUUCUCUUAUUUCUAGAGAGAGAAGCUCUGCCUUCUCUCUAGAACUUCUUCAUCUUCUCCGAUGGAGAGAUGGUGGCCGGAGGCGGUUCCGGCGCGGUGGCCGGCGAGUUUUCGCGGCGGCGCCACCGCGCCGGAGUUAAAAAUGUCUCCUUUUUUUAUUUUUUUUCGUCCUCUCUCCUUCUUUUCUCUCCCUCUUUCCGAUUUUGCAUACAAAAAUUCCAAACAAAAGUUAAAACGUCCUAGAUCUAAAAGGAAAGAAAAUACUACUUUCUUUUCUUUUUGAACGGAUUUGUUUGUGACGGUUCGUUGUUUAUUGUUGUGAGAACAGUUUGUGUUCUUGUGACGUGUAUAUGGUGCGGUUUGGUUAUUAGAUCUGUGAGUUAGGGUUAUGAUUUAUGUUCUUUUGGUGUAUUUUCGGCCUGCUUGGGUUGGCUAGAAAACUGUUUUCUCUUUGUGUUUCUGCAAGUUGGAAGAUUGUUCUUUCCUUUUCGUGUGUGUGGGGCCGAGUCCCUUUGUUUCUUGUUUGUGUGUUGUAUUUAUAGAACUGGAUGGGAGACAUGGAACCUGUUAAAGGACAGACAGGAACUGCCUUGGCUUGGGAUUAAGGGGACAUGAAUGAGCUGGCCACAGCUGGGGAUUGGAACAAAAGAGAUCUAAUAUUUUCGGACAUAAAAAAAGAAAAUAAAGAAAAAUAGAAAGACUAAAAAAUAAAAAACUAAAUGAGUUAACUAAAUUAAAAGGAACUUAAAUAAAAGAUGGAAACUAAAAAUAAAUAAAAAAUGAAAAUUGAGAGAAGAGGGCCCGACUCGGAAUCAACUAUGAGGUAUUUUAAAAUACCUCCCUGCCGAAUUUUUGUUCGAAAGGCUGAGACCGGUCGUAACUAAAUGACAUGUGUCAGUGCUGUCUUAGGUCAAAAAUUGGAGUAUGACAGAUGCCCCUAUUUAAGUUUCUUCGUCCGGAGAUUUAAAAGGAAACCUUUAAAUUAACAGGUCGAAGAGACUUAAAUAUUAAGUACACCAAUUUUGACCGGUUGGAGUGCUAAGAAUGCAACGCUCAUGAGCAUAAUGAUAUGAAAGCAUGCGAUGCAAUUAUGAAUGCAACACCGACAAAAUUAGAAUGACUGAGGACCAAAAUGACAAGUAUCACUGGGGAGAAAGAAAAAACUGCAUAUUACCUUUAAAUUGGUAAAGACGACAUUACAAGAAAGUAAACACAUGUCCAUUAACUCUAGAAUUGGUAAAGAUGACAUCACAAGAAAGAUAAACAUAUGUUUAUUACCUUUAAAAUUGGUAAAGACGAAUCUGGAGGAAAUAAUCAUGCCUAUUACCGUGAAUUAGGUAAAGACGAAUAUGUAACAGAAACAAAUCCUGCCUAUUACCGUGAAUUAGGUAAAGACGAAUAUGCAAAAGAAAUCAUGCCUAAUACCGUGAAUUAGGUAAAGACGAAUAUGCAAGAAAGUAAAACAUGCCUAUUACCGUGAAUUAGGUAAAGACGAAUAUGCAAAGAAAGUAAAUCAUGUCUAUUACCGUGAAUUAGGUAAAGACGAAUAUGCAAAAGAAAUCAUGCCUAAUACCGUGAAUUAGGUAAAGACGAAUAUGCAAGAAAGUAAAACAUGCCUAUUACCGUGAAUUAGGUAAAGACGAAUAUGCAAAGAAAAGAUCAUGUCUAUUACCGUGAAUUAGGUAAAGACGAAUAUGCAAAAGAAAAUAAAACAUGCCUAUUACCGUGAAUUAGGUGAAGACGAAUAUGCGACAAAGUAAAUCAUGCCUAUUACCGUGAAUUAGGUAAAGACGAAUAUGCGAGACCUACCCCUUGAAGUUAACUAGUGGCAAACUUUGAACCAGACAUAUUGAGGAUGAUACUUUUAUAAGACACAAGAUAAAUAGGACAUUGGGUAAUAAUGCAACCAUGUAUGAAUGAUAUUUAUAUUCAUGCUAUGUAUGCAUGAAUGAACGAAUAUGACUGAGACUCGAAUGACGGUAUAGUGUUAAGACUGUUGAGACAAGGUUAGGUAGGUCCAAAAAAGAAGUGGCUCAACAUCACAGCACAAAUGCCCAUAAAUCCUCAACGGGAAUACCAUUACUAGAGAUGAGUCAGACAUUGUCGGGGUAGAACCCUUCAAACAAACCACAGGUGGGAUAAAGCCCAACGAUCUUAACACUGAUACAGUUUAGCUCAAAAAUCAAAACACUAGCCGAAGUCGCCAUUUCUGAACUGAAACUGAGGUGCUUUUGCAAGCUUAUGCUUCAAUUAGUCAUUGUUUUUCUUUUGGUAUUCUUUUCUUCUUUUUUUUUUCUUUUUUAGUAAUGACUAUGUCCAUACAGAUGAAUCUUCAUGCUUUUGAAUCGAAUGUUGACACAUGCUUCUAUGAUACAUGAAUUAGAGAUAAUAUAUUUGUCAUCAUUUUGUUCUUUUCCAAAAGAAAACAUAAAGAUUUUAAAAGAAUUUUCAAAGUUUUUACUUCAAGUUUUAACAGUAAAAAUGGAAGAAAAUUUGCACAUAGAAUAAAUAUGAAUUUCAAAUAAAGGGGCACAGGCUCGAGUUGAUUUAAAAGAAAUGGUAACCAGCUAAAGCAUGGCACCACAGAUUCAAAAUGUGGACAAUGGUAAUUAAUAUGGGGAAGGUACAUUGAACAUAAUAACCGCUACUUUCUCUAACAACUUUGAAUUCCACUGCCUAUAAUGCUUUGAUAUCGGAGAACUUCUGACAGCUAAAGUGCCCCAAGUGAGUGAUGUUUCAUCUGAUGCAGUUACUUUGUCAUAAUCCUUAACUUUUGCAUAGAUCGCCCUUGUGGGUUUCAACCUAUCAGGAUAAUCCUUUUUUUUUUAUAUGUCUCUAACUUUUGCAUGGACCGCCUUUUCGGGUUUUCAAUCCAUCGAGACGCUCUUUUUUGUUUAGGACGCCCUUUCGGGUUUUCGACCUACCGAGCUAUUCUUUUACAUAUAUAUCUAGACAAAGUAUUUCUUGACUGCAUCAGAAUUCACAGGACGAGGUAACUCCUCUCCAUCCAUAGUUGUAAGAAUUAAAGCACCACCAGAAAAAGCUCUUUUCACCACAUAGGGACCUUCAUAAUUAGGUGUCCACUUUCCCCUAGGGUCUGGUUGGAAAGACUUGAUACUCUUGACCACCAGGUCACCUUCUUUAAAUUCACGGGGUCGAACCUUUUUAUCGAACGCUUGUUUCAUCCUUGUCUGAUAUAGCUGUCCAUGACAUAAAGCAGCCAUGCGUUUUUCCUCAAUCAAAUUCAACUGAUCAUACCUAUUUUGACACCAUUCAGCCUCUGACAGCUCAACUUCCAUCAAGACCCUCAAUGACGGGAUUUCAACUUCUACCGGAAGUAUUGCUUCCGUCCCAUAUACCAAAGAAAAAGGGGUUGCCCCUGUUGAAGUACGCACUGAAGUACGAUAACCAUACAAAGCGUAGGGCAACAUCUCAUGCCAGUCUUUAUAGGUAACCACCAUCUUCUGCACGAUCUUCUUAAUAUUCUUGUUUGCAGCUUCGACCGCACCAUUCAUCUGAGGUCUAUAAGGAGAAGAGUUAUGAUGCUCGAUCUUGAAACCAUCACAUAAUUCCUUCAUCAUCUUAUUGUUCAAAUUCGUGCCAUUAUCCGUGAUGAUCUUGUUGGGAAUGCCAUAACGGCAUAUGAUAUUGUUCUUGAUAAAUCGGACUACUACUUGUUUGGUCACAUUGGCAUAAGAUGCCGCUUCGACCCAUUUGGUGAAGUAGUCAAUAGCCACUAGUAUGAAACGAUGUCCAUUGGAAGCUUUUGGUUCGAUUCGACCAAUCAUAUCAAUGCCCCACAUAGAGAACGGCCAUGGAGAAGAGAUAACAUUGAGCAUAGACGGUGGAACAUGAAUCUUAUCAGCAUAAAUCUGGCACUUGUGGCACUUCUUGGCAUAAUGAUGACAGUCAGCAUGCAUCGUUAUCCAGUAGUAGCCUGCUCUCAAUGCCUUCCUAGCCAUUGAAUAUCCACUAGAAUGAGUCCCGAACGAGCCUUCGUGUAUCUCAUGCAUUAAUAAAUCUGCUUCACGUCGGUCCACACAUCUGAGCAAAACUGAAUCAAAGUUUCUUUUGUACAAGACGUCUCCACUCAGGAAGAAAUUGCCAGACAGUCUUCUUAGAGUUCUCUUAUCUUUACGGGAUGCCCCAGGAGGGUACUCUUGAGUUUGAAGAAACACUUUAAUAUCAUGAAACCACGGCUAAUCAUCAAAAACUGCUUCGGCUACAAACACAUAAGCGGGCCUAUCAAGGAACUUGACACUGAUUAGAGGCACGUCGUUGCCUCGAUUCACCUUGAUCAUUGAAGAUAAAGUUGCUAGGGCAUCUGCCAUUCGAUUCUCAUCCCGAGGAAUGUGGUGCAACUCUACUUUGUUGAAGAAGGUCAAUAAACGUCUGGCAUAGUCUCUGUAAGGUAUCAUUCCAGCAUGGUGAGUUUCCCAUUUUCCUUUGAUCUGGUUAAUCACAAGAGCUGAAUCUCCAUAUAUUUCAAUAUUUUUAAUCCUCAAGUUAAUGGCUUCUUCAAUGCCCAUGAUGCAAGCUUCAUAUUCUGCAAUAUUAUUCGUGCAAUCAAACCGGAGUCUUGCAGUGAAAGGGAUGUGAGUACCUUUAGGAGUAAGGAUAACUGCCCCUAUUCCAUUACCAAAGACAUUGACGGCUCCAUCAAAAAUCAAACCCCACUUAGAGUCUGGAUCAGGACCUUCACCAAACAACGGUUCAUCACAAUCUUUCAUCUUUAAAUACAUGAUCUCUUCAUCUGGGAAAUCAAACUUGAUAGGCUGAUAGUCUUCAAUUGGUUGAUGAGCCAAAUGGUCAGCAAGAACACUACCCUUGAUGGCUUUCUGAGUGCGAUACACAAUAUCAUAUUCAGACAAUAACAUCUGCCAACGAGCAAUUCUUCCUGUUAACGCCGGCUUCUCAAAAAGGUACUUGAUCGGAUCCAUUUUGGAUAUCAACCAAGUAGUGUGGUAAACCAUGUAGUGACGGAGACGCUUAGCGGCCCAUGCCAAAGCGCAACAAGUUUUCUCAAGCAUAGAAUAUCGGGACUCACAAUCAGUAAACUUCUUACUCAAGUAGUAAAUGGCAUGCUCUUUCUUUCCAGUUUCGUCUUGUUGACCAAGCACGCAGCCCAUAGAAUCAUCCAACACAGUCAAGUACAUGAUCAAAGGCCUUCCUUCAACUGGAGGGACCAGAAUCGGAGGUUCUAACAAAUACCCUUUGAUGCUAUCAAAAGCUUUCUGGCAAUCUUCCGUCCAAACGAUCCCCUGAUCUUUACGGAGUAACUUGAAUAUCGGCCCACAUGUGGCAGUCAUAUGGGAGAUGAAUCUGGAGAUGUAGUUCAAUCUUCCCAAAAAGCCUCUAACUUGUUUCUCUGUCUUUGGAGCCGGCAUUUCCCUGAUAGCUUUGACUUUGUCGGGAUCUACUUCAAUACCUUUCUGACUGACAAUGAAACCCAAGAGCUUGCCAGAUCUAACACUGAAGGUACACUUGUUAGGAUUCAAUCGGAGUUUGUACUUUCUCAACCGUUGAAACAUUUUUAACAAAUACUCAGCAUGUUCUUCUUCAGUGCCUGACUUGACAAUCAUAUCAUCCACAUAUACUUCAAUCUCUUUAUGUAUCAUAUCAUGGAAUAUUUUAGUCAUGCCUCUCUGGUAAGUGGCGCCAGCAUUUAUCAAUCCAAAUGGCAUUACUAAGUAGCAGAAAGCGCCCCAUGGCGUGAUGAAAGACGUCUUUUCUCUAUCUUCCGGAGCCAUCUUGAUCUGGUUAUACCCGGAAAACUCAUCCAUGAAGGAGAACACCUUGCAUCUAGCAGUACUAUCAACCAAUACAUCAAUGUGAGGUAAAGGGAAAUCAUCCUUCGGACUAGCUUUGUUCAAAUCCCGAUAGUCAACACAACAUUCUGACCUUACCAUCUUUCUUCGGAACGGGCACUAUGUUGGCCAACCAUUGAGGAUAUUCAGAGGUAAUCAAGAAACCUGCGUCAAUUUGCUUUCGCACUUCCUCUUUGAUCUUGAGAGCCAUAUCUGGAUGAGAUCUUCUUAACUUCUGCUUGACUGGAGGACACUCGGGCUUUAGAGGCAAACGAUGUUCAACAACAUUAGGGUCUAACCCCGGCAUGUCUUUGUAGGACCACGCAAAUAUAUCAUCAUACUCUCUGAGAAGCUCAAUUAUCCUAUUCUUGACAGAUGCCUCUAAUGACGUUCCAAUCUUAAUCUCUUUCUUAUCUUCCUCAGUACCCAGGUUGAUCGAUUCUAUUUCUUCCUUAUGAGGCUGAAUGGCUUUUCUUUCUUGUUCUAACAUCCAUCUGAGCUCAUUAGGAAUCUCUUCAUCCUCCUCUACCCAAGCCUCAUAAACAGGGAACUCCCAGUUGGGCGGAAGCAUAGGGUCACUACGUUCAACGGGCUCACUUAUGCUUAGUCUGCAUAUGAUUCAUGAUUGAUUUUUAGCAAAAAUAGUGGAUGCAGACCUUUGAAAUUGAUUUUUUUUUUUUUUUUGUUUUUUUUUUUUUUAAAGAGAAAAAAAAAAGAACAAGUUUUUGAUUUUUUGUAUUACCAUUUUUAGAAAAAGCACUAAAAUAAAAUAACGGUCGUGAUAGAAACGACAAUUUUUAUUAAUACUGAAAACAACUUAAAGUAAAAACAAACCCUGCAAGAUUUCACUUUCGUCUGGGGUAGGAUGAAAGGAGUUUUCUUAAAAAACAAAAACAAAGACAAACACAUUACUUAGAAAAAGGUAUCGCAGAAGGGAUGUCAACAGCAAUCCAGUUGCAGCAAUUUCCAUCAGGAGUCACAAAGUCAGGUGCCACCUCUUCUGAUUGAUCUUCCAAAAUUGCAUUAGUCUCAGGUGGUGUAUUAAUGAAUCCGGCACUGUGAAAAGUGCCCCUAGUUGGGUCGAACACCACUUGCUUAUUGCCAGAGAAACCCAAACCUUCUUUGCGCUUGUUCUCGGGCAACUGUACUAAUUGCCCCCAGCCUUCCGCUUUUCCUUCUUGGAUUACUCUCUGAGCAUCCCUUAGAGAGGCCAUGCAUGUUUCACCUUUUGUAGUACCACUUUCAACCGAGAACCCUUGGAAUGACGUUCCAUCCAGACUUUCACCACCAAUGAAGGAAAAGGACGACAAAUGGCUAACCAAAAGAGCUGAUUCCCCACUCACUGUAACAAGCUUUCCAUGACUCACAAACUUUAGCUUUUGGUGAAGAGUGGAUGUUACUGCCCCUGCUUCAUGAAUCCAUGGUCUACCUAGUAAACAGCUGUAGGAAGCUUGAAUAUCCAUUAUCUGGAAUGUAACUUUAAACUCUUGGGGCCCAAUAGUGAUAGGUAAAUCUAUUUCUCCCCACACCGUCUUCCUGGAUCCAUCAAAUGCCCUUACCGACACGCAACUGGGCCUAAUAAAUCCGUCUGAAUACGUCAAUUUAUCAAAGGUUGUCUUCGCCAUCACAUUGAGGGAAGAACCAGUGUCUAUCAAGACAUUGGACAGAGAAUCUGUUUUGCACGUAACAGAGAUAUGUAAGGCCAUGUUAUGAUUUUUCCCCUCCACCGGGAGGUCUUCCUCACUGAAACUCAGGUUGUUGCAUGCCGUCACAUUUCCAACAAUGCUCCCAAAUUGAUCCAAAGUCACAUCAUGGUCUACGUAGGCUUGAUUCAAUACUUUCAUCAAGGCUUCCCUAUGAGCAUCAGAACUUGUCAAUAGUGACAUGAUAGAAAUCUUGGAUGGAGUCUGUAAUAACUGAUCCACUAUCUUAUAAUCACUUUUCUUGAUCAGUUUCAAAAUUUCAUCGUUAUCAGUUCCACUAGGUUGACCCACACUUUUACCCUUGCUAGGAUCUGGUAUUGGUACUGAUUGUAUCACUGGAGCUUUGUUCUUUGCUUGUACAACAGCCGGAAGAAUACGUCCACUUCUCAGAAUUUGACUACUCUCAGCAAUGUUAUCUACUGAAGUUGAAGGACCCAAAAGUACCCCUUUACCAUCCUUUAUGCCUGUAGAUUCGUAGCUAUAUGGAAUAGCCUUCUGGGAGAAAAACAGCUUGGGUUUUGGCACACAAAUUGCCAAAGGAUCGACAAUUGUCUUGGCAUUGUCUUUGAAUAUCGGAGUAACAACACCAAUUGGUUUCGUCCUAUCCUUAAACACAGGAAUUACAACACAAAUGUUCUUAUCUUCUCUUGUGACAACCAGCUCUCCUUGAUCCAUUAACCCUUGUACAUCAUUUUGAACUUGAAUGCACCCGUGGGGAUCCGCAGAACAUACCUCACAAUUGAUAUGAUCGUGGCUAAACAUACCUACGUUACACAUCUUCACAUGCAUUGGAACCAACGGGGUUCUGACAUCUUGAGCGUUGGUGACGAGAUCAUCUUCCUGAUAAUUCUCAAUCAUGUUAACGGUCGGCCCAUGAGGUGGCAGAGGGUUGUUUGGAGCAACAGGGUCAGGGUCAGUGAAUGAUAAGUCCUUACUGUGAAUCAAUCUUUGGACUGCGUCUUUGAGAGGGUAACAGUGCUCAAUGUCGUGCCCUGGUGCCCCUUGAUGGAAUUCACAAGUAAGGUCUGGGCGAUACCAAUGAGGUAAAGGGUUCGGUACCGGGGGACGUGGUUUAAUCUGAACAAGACCCCUAGCGAGUAGGGAGGGUAACAAGUCUCUAUACAUCAUGGGGAUAGGAGGGAAUUGAUUUCUUGGAGGGCGAGGCUGACGAGGCUGUUGUUGUUGUUGUGGUGGAGGAUAAGGUUGUUGAUAAAAUGGUCGUGGCUGAUAAGGUUGUGAUUGAUAUAGUGGUGGAUAAUAAGGCGGGGGUGCUUGAGGCCUUCGUGGUUGAUAGUUUGGGUUUUGUGGAGCUGGGAUGGGUAAUGGAAUAUUAGCAAUGUAGGGGUAGUUGGGGUAUACAGGUUGGGAUCCACCAUGAGCCACCAUGCCGACCUCUGGAGCGUUCUUCUUUGGGUACCCAUUUCCGAACCUCCUAUUACCAUUAGAUGAUCCACCUGUCAAACUUCCUGAAUAACCACCUGAAGAGGCACCAUCUUUACUACCCCGUCCCUUACGGACCCAUUCUUCAAUACGAACACCCGCGUCUACCAUGUCGGUAAAUUUCUGUGAAGCACAAAGAAGCAUCUUCUCUGAGUAGAAAGGGCUCAGAGUCUCAUAGAACAGAUCAGCCACUUCUCUUUCUUCCAAAGGCGGACGAAUUUGAGCAGAUUUCUGAAUGAAGCGCUGGGCAUACUCUUUGAAAGAUUCCUUAUCACCCUGAGUCAUAGCUUGCAGCUCUUUCCGGUUAGGGGCCAGAUAAGAGUUAUAUUUAUACUGCUGGAUGAAGGCAUUAGCCAAUUCCUCAAAAGUAGUGAUACCCUUCAAAUUCAUAUACCAUGUGAGUGCGGGACCAGCCAAACUGUCCUGAAAACAGUAGAUGAGUAGAGGUUCAUUCUUCCUAUGAGCCGUCAUCCUCCUAACAUACAUGAUUAAGUGAAUUUCAGGGCAAGUAUUCCCCGUGUACUUCUCAAAGGUCGGCACUUUAAACUUAGGAGGUAUAACCACAUCCGCAACCAAGCAGAGGUCAUUCAAAUUAUGGCUAAACACUUCCUUACCCCGGAUACUCUUCAACUCUUUAUGUACCGCAUCGUACUUUUCUUCUAAGUUACCCACUCUAUCAUCACCAGCCACACUAUUGGAAUGGUACACUUGUUCCUCCUCUUGCUGAGCAGCAUGCACGAGGGGUCCGGCAUAAGUCAUAGUAGCCUGAGGAAAAGGCUGGCCGGUCUGGUAGAACGGUGUUUGUUGCUGGCCAAGAGGGAACUGCAUUUCCGGCGCAUUAUGACGAAAACCUUCAUUAGUUGCGAGUGGCAUGCCCCACGGGUAGCCUGGCGGCAUACAGUACUGAGGAGGGAAAGAGAAACCGGAAGGUCCAACGGGAUGGAAGCCUGAAUUGUACAUGUCAGUCACCAAAGGUUGUGUAGUACCAACAGCUGCGGUGGAACCAGUAGGAAUUGGUUGUGAAGUAUCAGCAGAAGUAGUAGGAAUUGGCUGGAUUGCAGGAGAACCAGCAGACUGAGAAGCUUCAACAUGUGCCUGAGUGGUCUGAGCAUUUUGCGCUUGAGAGGCUUGUGCCUGUGCGGCCAUCAUGUCAAUCAUCAUUGCGGUUAUUUUCUCCAUACCUUCCUUGAGGUUACCAACCUCCUCCCUAAGGUCACUGUUCUCUUGUUCAGCAGUUGCCAUCUUCUUCUUGAUGUAUGCUCGAGUACGGUGAACACGGGUAGGUUUGUACUGAAUACGCCGGGCCACUUUGCUUUUUUCUGAGACAGAAAUGAGGAGAGUAUGAGACUUGGUUUUGACACUUUUUAUGAAUAUGAUGCAUGAUAUGCUAUAUGCCAAAAUAUGCAAUUUUUAUAUAUCUUUUUAUCGAAGGACCUAUAGAAGCAAUUUUAUAAACAUAUGACCCUAAACAAAACAUUAAAACAGACAUAGUCAUUACAAGAUAAUUCCCUUUCUAACAACAAAGCCAAGGGAUAAACUUUCAAAAUAAAACAAGAUAAUUCCCUUUAAACAAAGUGAGUCAAGGGAUAGACUCCAUAAUUCCCCAGUGAAGUCGCCAUUUCUGUCGCGCCAUUUUUCGGAUGUCAAGGCCACUUGAUUGACUUUGACUCACUUUUUUACUCACGACUGAACAAAUUUUUUUUUAGGGGAAAAAGUUCCAAACAACCCAUUUCGAAGAGAUUUAGGGUUCGGGGGUUGGUUAUAUUUAGGGAAGGUGUUAGCACCCUAAAUAUUCGUAGUACUCUACGAGAACCUCUUGAUUUUAUUUAACUUCUUGUGCUAUAACUUGCUUGCUUUUGAAAAGAUGAAAAUGGAAUUGGAUGAUGAGUUGAAAAGGAAAAGAAAAUUGACUUUAAUUGAAGAGAAAAAAGGAAAAUGUUUUUUAAUUGAUUUGGAAGGACAAGGUCCUCUGCCUACGUACCCGUGAGGGAACAAAACCUCGUAGUUCGGGGUAGAAAUUGACGUUUGAUUGGUUGAGUGUUUUUUAUUAGAUUUUGAAAAAAGGUUUUGAAAAUAAAAAGCCAAGUGGCAAAUGAGAAUUGAUUUGUGUUUUUUUAGAUUGAAGAAAAUUGACUUGAAGUUGAAUUAGAAUUGAUUGGAAAUUUGAUUAAGAAAAAUAAAAUAAGAAGACGGUCACUUGAUUUAAGAUCAAGGUUUAUUGUGAAAAGUUCUUUUUAUGAAUUUUUGAUAUUUGAAUGUUUUUGUUGUUUUUGAAUAAAAAUAUGAACAUUAUAUAAGCAGAAUGAGAAAAAUGAAGUUAAGCUAAAUUGUGAAAUUAUUUUAACAUGGACCAGAAUAUUCUGGAGAGUAAUUAAGUUAAACAAAAAUAAAUAAAUAUUAACAUUUAAGUUUGGACCAGAGCACUCUGGAUUAACAAAAAUAUAAUAUUAAUAGUUACUUUAGGACCAGAGCACUCUGGAUUAAUUUAAUUAACAAUGACCAGAGCACUCUGGAGAAUAAUUAAAUUAAACAAAAAUAUAAUAUUAAUAGUUAAUAUAGGACCAGAACACUCUGGAUUAAUUUAAUUAACAAGGACCAGAUUGUUCUGGAGAAUAACUAAAUUGAACAAGAAUAUAAUAUUAACAUGUAAUUAGGACCAGAGCACUCUGGAUUAAUAGAGAGAAAAAUAAAAAUGCAUGAAAAAGAAAUUAAAAGUGCGGGGGACCAGAGCACUCUGGAUUAAUAGAGAGAAAAUUAAAAAAUGCAUGAAAAGGAAAUUAAAAAAAAUGAGAUGCUGGGGUUAAGCAAGGAAUAAAAGGGGGUGCAGGAAAUAGAAAAGAGAAUUGGGCUUUAAGAAAUCUGAACCGGGUCGGUUCUACGGGUCGGUCCAUGGGUUGAACCAGUGAACAUGUAUAUAAGGGUUGUGGGUCACAAAAAUUGCCAUUUUUCAUUGUUUUUCUCUCUCUUCUCUUAUUUCUAGAGAGAGAAGCUCUGCCUUCUCUCUAGAACUUCUUCAUCUUCUCCGAUGGAGAGAUGGUGGCCGGAGGCGGUUCCGGCGCGGUGGCCGGCGAGUUUUCGCGGCGGCGCCACCGCGCCGGAGUUAAAAAUGUCUCCUUUUUUUAUUUUUUUUCGUCCUCUCUCCUUCUUUUCUCUCCCUCUUUCCGAUUUUGCAUACAAAAAUUCCAAACAAAAGUUAAAACGUCCUAGAUCUAAAAGGAAAGAAAAUACUACUUUCUUUUCUUUUUGAACGGAUUUGUUUGUGACGGUUCGUUGUUUAUUGUUGUGAGAACAGUUUGUGUUCUUGUGACGUGUAUAUGGUGCGGUUUGGUUAUUAGAUCUGUGAGUUAGGGUUAUGAUUUAUGUUCUUUUGGUGUAUUUUCGGCCUGCUUGGGUUGGCUAGAAAACUGUUUUCUCUUUGUGUUUCUGCAAGUUGGAAGAUUGUUCUUUCCUUUUCGUGUGUGUGGGGCCGAGUCCCUUUGUUUCUUGUUUGUGUGUUGUAUUUAUAGAACUGGAUGGGAGACAUGGAACCUGUUAAAGGACAGACAGGAACUGCCUUGGCUUGGGAUUAAGGGGACAUGAAUGAGCUGGCCACAGCUGGGGAUUGGAACAAAAGAGAUCUAAUAUUUUCGGACAUAAAAAAAGAAAAUAAAGAAAAAUAGAAAGACUAAAAAAUAAAAAACUAAAUGAGUUAACUAAAUUAAAAGGAACUUAAAUAAAAGAUGGAAACUAAAAAUAAAUAAAAAAUGAAAAUUGAGAGAAGAGGGCCCGACUCGGAAUCAACUAUGAGGUAUUUUAAAAUACCUCCCUGCCGAAUUUUUGUUCGAAAGGCUGAGACCGGUCGUAACUAAAUGACAUGUGUCAGUGCUGUCUUAGGUCAAAAAUUGGAGUAUGACAAUACUUAAACACAAUUGUAACUGAAAGUUUAUUGCCACAUAUUUUAAAGAUUAAAAAUGGUACUCCAUUGAUGUUGUUGCGAAAUAGACACCCGAAAUAUGGUUUAUGAAUUGGAACAAGGUUUCAAUGUCAUGGUUUUUUUAAAAAUUUAUUGGACGUCGAAUACUAACAGGCAACAACACUUAAAAAGAGCUUUAGUUGCCCAUAAUUAAGUUUAAAACCACUAAAGGUGCAAGGCUUUCUUUUGUGCUAAGUAGCAAAAAUUUAUUGUCAAACUAUGUUUUGAAAUCACUAUAAGCAAAUAACAAGGGAAAACUAUUCCAAAGUUGGAAUUUUUCUCCCAUGACAUAUUUUGAGCCAUGGUCAGUUGUAUAUUGCUUUAUCAAUAGGUGUUUCUCAAUCCACAACAAGAGUGUUGAUUAAGGAUGGAAGACUAUAAGGGGAAGACGGAGAUAGGAAUACCAUGAUAUGUAGAGUGUUUCGUUGGGUACUCUAACCACACAAAAGUAUUUAUCUGGAACUCACAUACACAUUUACAUCAUCAUAAAUACAAAUUACUAAGCUGAUUACACCUUUUUCAGUUUAACAAUAAAUAUUAUUGUCUUAUUUUACAUUCAUAUACAAGAAAAUUAGAACAAAGUGAUAACUUACAGCUCUGCAAGCUGUUGAAAAGAAAGCAUCUUAAUGCAUACUUUGAUUAAAAAAAAAAAAGGUAUGUUACACUUACAUAUUUAAUUUAAAUUUUACUUGUUAACAACUAUAAUAAUUUUGUCCAAAAAAAAAAAAAACUAUAAUAAUAAUCAAUAUCAUGUUUCAAAACUUUCAAAAAAUAAAGGAGGGGGAGUUUUAGAAAAAAUGGAACAUAUGGAAGGAUGAGCAUACACUUUCUUCUAUGUGCAACAUUGAUGACAAGGUAGCUGAUUUAGUAUCAAGAACCCUAAUUUCCAAUGACGUACAACAUCAUUACCAUUUCACUAAUACUUGUUUUUUUUUUAAACAACAAAUUCAUCGUCUGGAUGUUUACUCGCUUGGAUGGGGUUCAAGAAUAAUAAUAGAUAAAACACAAUUGUGGAAUAUUGUGAAAAGGAAAAUAUUGGCUCAAAUCCCUAAAAAAAUAAAAUAUUGAUUCAAAGAAAAAAUAGGUAUUUGUUGCAUUAGUUUAGAAAAAUCAUAUGUACUAAAUAUAAUAUGUGUCCCUUAUUCAUCUUUGAGACAUGAUCACUAGUUACUCUCAUUUGUAAAAUAAAAAUAAAUUGUGUUAACUAUAUUAUUUAUCUUAGGAAUAUGCACACUCCAAUAACAAUAGACGACUAUCAAGCUACGACGUCUAAGUGAAAGCAAGAUACCUCUCUUGAUCAGGAUUUUAUGUUUUAUGUCUUAAGCUUUGUACAUUGUCUUGCAUAUAUUAUAUUUGCAUAUGACAUUCUAUAAUUAAUUUUUAGUUUUUCGAAAGACAAGGAAUCAGUGAUUAAGAUAGGUAUGAAGAAUUAGCUGCAAUUUUUAAACGGUAAUUAACUAUAUUAUUUUAAAUGAUAUUUUAUAGCUUUUUUUUUUUUUUAUACAAUUUAGUUUUUUCGAUUAACAACUAAUAAAACUCAUAAAAUAAAAUGCGGGAAAAUAAGAAUUUUUUUUGGUUCUGAUUACAUGUUUUGCAUUCCCACAAGCACCACCAAUGAUGACAAAAAUACAAUACUAAUAUUAACAUUUUAAGUUGUUGAAUAUUAUUUGAAAUAGAGUUUUUCUCUAAUCUCUGUUUAUAUUAUCAAUGUUUAAAUUAGUAAUUGUACUAACCCAAUAACUGAAAUUAAGUUAUACAAAGAAGAAACAUAGAGUAUAUAUAUGUUAGCACAAUACUCAAACAAAAAAGGAUGGAAAGAAGGGAAACAAUAUAUCUCUAUUCAUCAAAUUUUUAGUUCUUAUAUUUAUAUAUGACAUAUUAUAUAUUAAUUUAUAUAAAGAAACAUAAUCAAAUAUAUACAUAUUUUAGCGCAGUAGAAAAAGCAGAUAGACGAGCACGUAGACGCUAGUAGCAAAUUAUGGGAAAUUAAAUUUUUACCAUUUGUAAAAGAAUGCAUGGGCUGUGAUAGUAAUUACGAAACUUCAUCUCACUAGUGUCGUGUACGAACUUACUACUAUCUAGAAUUAUGUAAAAGAAUUUUUUUUGGAACUGUUUCGGUAAAGAAAGUUAUCUUAUAAAAUGGCUACACGAAACAAAAGUUUUGGAUUUAUUAUUAGUUAGAGAUUAGAGAUGAUAGAUAUAGAUUAGAUCGGUAUAAUCAUCUACGACAUUCAUGUACUCACCAAUGCUGAGCUUUAUUCUCAUAUUGUUGCCAAAUUAGAGAAUCAAUAAAAAAAUGAUUAGAAAUAAAGCCCAAAAUGAAUCAAUAAUAAUAAUAAUAAUAAGAAUGAAGUGAUGUAAAUGUAAAUGACAAACCUCUUGUUGAAACUGCAAAGUUUGAGUGAGAGACUGAGACUAUUAAUUGACAAUUGAUAUGUGAUGUUGUUAGUACCUGCGUGCAGCGGUGAAGUUAGAGUAAAUGUGACGAGUGAGUCGACUACUAGAAAAAUCAAAAUUAGUGAAGGAAAUUAUGAAAUUUCUCACAAAUUCCUUGGUCGCAAAAUUUAGUGACGGAAUUAGAGAGGGAUUUCAUGUUUUCCCUCACUAAAUAUCCCUCACUAAUUUUUGUUUUUUUAGUAGUCAAGGGAUAAUUUUCUACUAUUGUGAAUGCUCUAAACAAUUAUAUUUCUUUAUAGCUAUUGAAGAGAAUAUUUUUUUGAAAGAAUAACUAUUGAAGAGAUUGAAAGUAUUAAAAUAAAACGAAUAAAUUUAUCGAUCAAGGGAUAAUUUGCUAACUUUUUUUAUUUUCUUACUUUUUGGUAAAUAGAUUUGUUUGAGGUAAUAUAUUAUUGGGGUAUCUUAAAAUAAAAUGUAUUAAAAUCAUUCAAGAUAAAUAAUAUUUGUUUGAGGUUCUGCUUGCGUGGUAACUGCAAGGGAAAAUAUUGUUAGAUUAAUAUAAGUUAUUCGUCAUUUUUUAUCUAUUAAUUAAGGAUUAAGGAUGAUCUAAGUUACUUACCACCAUAAUCUGCUAACUAAGGAUGUUCUUUAUCAAUUGGAGACUAAAAGAAGGAAAAAAGAAAGGAAAGAAAAAACAAAGAAAUGAGAGUACGUUUAUGAAGUAAACAAAAAGAUAAAAUAAAAAUGUCGGAUAGAAACUAUCCAUUGUUGUAGACUAGUUUGUUUAAGAACAACAUACACAUUCUCGUGAACUUAGAACAGUUAGCAGGAACAUUAGCGGGGGUCAGGAUUUAAAACCCAACUUACACUUAUACAAUAAUGAUCCUAUUUUCAAUGGUUUAAAUUAGACAUUAUUCGUGAUUAAAACUAAAAAAUAACAAAAUAUUUCAGAAUAAAACGAAAAAAAUUAACCAAUCUAUUUAUGUAUCUCUAUAUGAUGGAAAUUGUUUUCAGCAAUCCAGUUGCUUUGUUGGUGUAUGUUAAUUACUUAUAGAUUAAAAUAUGGACAAUAAUAAGAAGAAAAAAUAGAAUAAAGACAUCUAAUUACUAUUGUAAGAAGUAAGGAAUGAUUUACCGUAAGUGAGCAACGUCAUUCCAUGAACAAAGUUUCUAUUUGAGCGUGUAAUGAAUUAAUGGAGAAAUUAAAAAUAGGGAAAUGCUUUUUCUCCCGAGAGAAUGUCAAGCGAAUCGACCACGACAAUAGCUGGUUAGUUUUGAUUGGUAGUUUAUUCCUUGAUUUUCUUUUUUUCAGCAAACACCUCUUUGUAUUCAGCCAAACUGCAAACUGUGAUUGAUUAGUUUUGAUUUGGGAAGCUUUUGCUAUGUUUUCUUUCCCACUAUAUGGCAUCGCUCUUAACAAUAUAUCAAUGGAAAGAGUAGCUAUUAAUGGAAAAUUGGUAAAUUAAUAGUUAUAUAUAUAUAUGUAGCAAUUGUGUGUUUGUGAAAAGUAAGUAACCGUAACUAAAGUUAUUCAACGUGUGUGUGGUGAGCAGUUAACAAUGUGGAAAUUAAAACUGAAAAAAAAAAACUAAAAAAAGUGGAAAACAAAACUGCAUAGGGCAUUUUCAUAUUAGAAAAAAAACUAUACCAAAACAAAAGUUGUGUCUUUAUUAUUAGUUAGAUCUUAGAGGAUAAUAGUUAUAGAUUAAAGUAAUGCUAACAACUUAUCCUAGGAGCAUAUCCCAGUUCGUUGGAUAAUGCAUUAUUAUAUGCAGGGGUCGGGGUUCGAAACUCGGACAUCCAACUUAUUCACCUUAUAAGGUGAAUUCUUGCCACUAGACUAGCUGACAACAAAAAAAGUAAUACUAACAACACUCUCUUUUGACCACACAAUAAGAGGGUGAGUAUAAUAGAGAAUGUUGAAAAGUGAGUGUUGUUAGCAUUCCUCUUCAGUCAUUUUUAUAAGUGAAAACUAACUAACUUUAAAAUUUGAGUUUUAUUUAUAGAUAGCAUUGACCAGGUGUAGUUAUGAAUAACAACAAAAAAAUAAAGGUGAGGCCUAGGUUGCCUUUGAAAACUCAUGGGCAAUUUACCUAAACCAAUCAAAAGUUUCCAUGUGUACUCCAUUAGAAUAAUAACAUUUAUUAUUUUAUUUUGCAAAAAUUUAGCAAGUAUUUUAUUAUUUGCAUAUUCACCCUAUCUUAAAUUAAUGAUUUUUUACAAUUUAAACCAUCACAAUAAUUAAAUUUCACCUCUAAUUCAAUCACUCUCCAAACCUCUUUUUUAGCUUGGCAAAAAUCAUUAAAAAUUAAAAUUAUCACCCCUGGGAAUCAAACCUGGGUGCUCCCACCUAUUUAAAAUGUACUCUGGAACCACUUGAUCAAUACAUUUUUUAUGAAAUAAUUUGGAAUUCAAAAUUAUGUUAUUAGUGAGCAAAUUAUUUUAUUUUUAUUUGCAGUGCCUUUAUAACCUAGCUUUAGUGAAAAAAAAAAUCAUUUUAUGUGUGUAUAAUUAUGAAGUAGUAAAUUUUUCUUAAGAAAAAUGAAUUCAUUCAAUUGAUUUUUUAUAUUUUAAAUUUCAUUCUUUUUUAUAAAUUCAUACUUUUAUAUAGAUUCGAUGACCUACGACAAUGUUUCAUUUGUGAUCCACCGAAUUAUGAUUUAUUUUAGGUACUAUUUUUCAUUUGGAUCAGAUAAAUUGUUUAAAGGUAAUAAUUUUUUUUUUGCAAGGUCUUAUAAGUUAUAACCUAGCUUUAGUAAAAAAAAUCAUUUUAUAUGUGUAUAUUUAUGAAAUAGUAAAUCUUUCUUAAAAAAAAUGAAUUCAUUCAAUUGAGUUUUUAUAUUUUAAAUAUCAUUCUUUUAUAUAAAUUUAUAAUUUUAUAUAGAUUCGAUGAACUACAACAUUGUUUCAUUUGUGAUCAAACGAAUUAUGAUUUAUUUUAGGUACUAUCUUUCAUUUUGAUCAGAUAAAUUGUUCAAAGGUAUUAAUUUAUUUUUUUUUUGCAGUGUCUUAUAAGUUAUAACCCAGCUUUAGUAUAAAAAAAAUAAAUCAUUUUAUAUGUGUAUAUUUAUGAAAUAGUAAAUAUUUCUUAAAAAAAAAAAAAUGAAUUCAUUCAAUUGAUUUUUUUUAUAUUUUAAAUAUCAUCCUUUUAUAUAAAUUCAUACUUUUAUAUAGAUUCGAUGACUGAUGGGAUAAAACCGCAAGUGCACGGUUCUACCAGAAUUCAGGGCAUUACAAACGCAACAUGUGGCAUAAAAAUAUUACUUUAUAUGUAUAUACUAUUGAUUUUACUGUUCAUUUAAAAUAUUUUAUUUGCUUAAUUGCACUUUUGGACCCCUAUCUUUUCAAAAGUUGCGGUUAUGGAUCCCUAACUAAUUUAAAUACAAAACAGUCCCCUAUGUUUUGAUUCUUUAGCAGUUUUGGACCCCCAAGGCAAAAAAAAAAAAAAAAAUUGACAAGUGGCACCUCACUUAGGGUGCCAUGUCAGCGUUGACCGAGUCAACAAUGAAUUGGGGUCCAAAAUUGGCAAAAAAUCAGAACAUAGGGGGUUGUUUUGUAUUUAAAUUAGUUAGGGGUCCAUAACCGCAACUUUUGGAAAGAUAGGGGUCUAAAAGUGCAAUUAAGCCUAUUUUAUUUACUAUUUUAUCCUUUAAUAAUAUUAUAUUAAAUUUGAAUUAGAAAAAUGAAAUCUCAUUAAAAUAGGAAAUAUACCACUACAACAGGAACAAUACUAUAUAUACUUUUUUUUUUUUUUUUUUACAAAAUACUAUACAUACUAUAUAUGAAGGGAAUAGAGACUUUGGGCUGAAUUUUUUAUAAUUUCAAUUAUACCCUUUAAACAAAUUUUCCUAUAUUAAUGUUACAUUUUUGGUGGUAUUAAAAAAAGAUAAGAAUUUAUAUUAUAUUUGUUAAACUACUGUGUUGUUGUGGUAAAAAAUAAACAUGAUUUUUUUGGGUUUGUUACAAUUUUAAUUUCACAAAUAUUUGUACUUAUAAUUUUAAUCAAAAUCAAAAUUUCAUAUAAAAUACCGUUCAUAAUUUACACAUGUCACGUGCCCGUUUUUUCGCUAGUUAUAUAUAGUAUUUAUACUAUAUAUAAAGAAAACUAUCUCUUUCAGCACUUUUGGGCAGGAUUUUUCUUUCCAAAAAUACCCUUAAUUUUUAAUACAAACAACACAUGUAACAAAUAAAUAAGAAUAAAUUUAAAUAUUAAAACAAAUGUAACAAACACGAUAUGUGUGUUUGGUUUUUUUCCUUUAUCAUUUAAAAAGUGUAACAAACUAUAUGAGUAUAUUUAAUAUUUGCUUUUUUUAUUAUCCCAAUUAUACCAUUAAAACAAAAUCCAUAAUCAUCAAUCAACAACAAGAAGAUCCAACAUUUUAAAAAAUAAAUAGAUAAAUUUAAAGGAAUUUUUUUAAGAUUCUUAUGUUGUUACAUAAUAUUUGGACAAGAUUCUAAUUCUCAUUAAUCUUUUCUCCCACGUCAAGAAUAUCUCUUUGCUUCUUCUGAUUCAUAUUCAUUCAUUCCUUAUUAUUCUAAUUUUUAACUCAAUUCAUCUUCCUAUAGAUUUGCAUCGUUUUUGCUGAACCAAGAAGGACUGUUAAGUAGAAGAAUUCCAGAAUCAUAGAUGUAAUCACAAUAGUUCUCAAUGACAAUGCUUAAAAAAAAAUUGAUUUUUUUCCCAAUCUAUCUCUCUCAAUCCCGAUCUACUCUCUAUCCCCUUAAACCCUUUUUUCCUAAACUAUUCCUUACCUCUCAUGCUCUCUCUUCUCCAUCGGAUACCAUUUCCCAUUCUAUCAUCUUCAUUGCAUUCUCCUCUUUCUCUUUCAUUUUUGACUUCUCAAUAAAAAAUCAAUCCCAGCUUCAAUUUUUUAUUGUCGAAUUCGAAUUCGAAUUUGGGGUGCGUGGGUUCGAUUGAGAGAGAGAGGGAUCGAGAUGAUGGAUAUAUAGACAACGGUGUUGAUGGUGGUUUUGAAAAAGAGGUUUUGAUGGUGGUUAUCUGGAUUUUCUCUGGAUUUUUUUUUAUGAAGGUGAUGAAUGAGGGAAAGAAAGAAGAUGAAGUAUGGGAUAUAAUGCUAGAUGUUGUUGGUUCACAGUAAGAUACAGUGGACAUGCAUGAUCUAACAAUCUUUCUUUAUUAAAAAAGAUCAAACGGUUUAUAUUAAAAAAAAUAAUAGGAUCUAUAGUGGACCAGGGGGUUCACCAUAGAUAUUUGAGGUUAAAGUUAAUUUAUUUGCAAACUGUGGGAAAAGUGAAGGACUAAAACGUGAGUUUUAUUAAUUGUGAGACCAAAAUAAAACCAAAGAAUUAAAUAAGCCUUUUUUUUUACUAAAGCUAAGUUAUAACUUAUAAGACAUUGCAAAAAAAAAAUUAAUACCUUUAAACAAUUUAUCUGAUCCAAAUGAAAAAUAUUAUCUAAAAUAAAUCAUAAUUUGGUUGAUCACAAAUGAAACAUUGUUGUAGUUCAUCGAAUCUAUAUAAAAGUAUGAAUUUAUAUAAAAGAAAGAUAUUUACAAUAUAAAAAAUCAAUUGAAUGAAUUUAUUAUUAUUUUUUAAGAAAGAUUUACUAUUUCAUAAAUAUACACACAUAAAAUGAUUAUUAUUAUUUUUACUAAAGCUAAAUUAUAAGUCACUGCAAAAAAAAAUAAAAAAUUGCUCACUAAUAACAUAUUUUUGCAUUCCAAUUUAAUUCAUAAAAAAUGUAUUGGUCAAGUGGUUUGGGAAACCAUUUCAAAUAAGUGGGUGUGUUUAAGUUCGAUUCCCACGAGUGAUAAUUUUAAUUUUUAAUGAUUUUUGCCAAAUUGUCCAUGAGUUUUUAAAGGUAAUUUAGAAAAAACCAAAAAUAAAUUAUAGGAAAACCUGUUCCCGCUCGUGUAUUCCUAAGGUAACGGUUACAACUUCCAAGUCUCUUGUACUUGUGCACUCUUGCUACAAUCUUAAAAUUCUUUUCAAAUCUUUUUCAUGGAUUCUCUUCUACUUCCAGGUAAUAUCAAAUCUAACUUUUUUUUUUUUUUUCCUGUUAUGAUCAAUCCAAUUAAUAUAAUCAUCCCUUUUCAUUCCUAAGAGUUUAUUUUAAUUAUAUGUUAACAGAAAAAACCAACGACGAUUCCAAACCAAAAAUGAAACAAAAGCGCAACAAGGCAACCAAAAUGGGCAUGGGUAGAGAAACACAGACUCAAUUCAGGUAACUAACAUAUUUUAUAAUUCAUCAAUUCCACCAUGCUUAUAGAUUAUAAUAAAGAUUCGUGACUCCGACAACAAUAUAAAAGUUUUUUAUGUUGUCAAAAUUGAAGUAACAUCGGCCUUAUUUGAUUACGAUAUAUUCUCCACAAUAUAAAAGAUUGUGAUGCCACUGUUAUUUAAAUUAUUCAAGUUGUUAGUAGUAUGUAAUCCAGACAACAUUCUUACAAUCGGCACAUUGGUGGCCUUGAAUCGAGAUAGAGCGGUUCAAAUUUCAAAAUCAGCAUUUUAGUUCUUAAAAAAUAAAAACAAAAAAAAAUUUGAACCCUUCGAUUUUGAUCCUAUUUGCAAAAUGUGUAAAUGUAGAGGAUUGACGACCAGAGGCAAUCUGAAUUCUAUUUAAAAUCAUGAAUUCCUUUACAUUGUUAUUUGAUUUUUUUCUCAAUUUCCAUUCUCUAUUUUUGUUUCAGACAAAACCGAGCUUUCGGUACCCCUUGGAACACAAACGAUAACAUUCCGAAAAAGCCCAUUUCGGACAACAUUACCACCAAACCAAAACCUGCAGUUCCACAUAAACAACCCAAACAACCAAUUCCAGCAACACAAGUUCCCACUGAAAUCACCACUUUAACACAACCUAAUGAUAAAAAAUCACCAGAAAAUGUCAAGCCCAUAAAGAACAAGAAGAGUGACACAUUCCCACAAAAGUUGGCAGAAAAAGCAAUGUUAAAGGAAAGUGAUUCUGCAGAGGAGCCUAAAACUCCAGCAACAACUUCUCAUGGUAGAGGCAAGAGUAAAGUGCAAGCUACACCGUUUUACAGCGCAGUAAAUUGUAGCAAAUGUCGUUUUGAUAAGCUUGAGACUUCAUCUUAUUGGAUUGGACAAAUCAAAUUGGCAGAGUCUGUUGGGAAACACUUUGUUGCCUCUGGAUUCUUCAAGCUUGCUUUGAAAUCUCAGGCUGAGGUUUGUGUUUCUUUAUCACAAAGUUUAUUUGUGUUUGAAUUUAGAGAAAUUUUCAAUAUUGUGAUGACUGAAUACCACAAAACUUAACUAUUCAAAGUUAGAUAUGUCAUGAACAUGUGUUUAUAAACAGGAAAUAAUAUUUGUGACCUUACAAGUUGAUUUUGUGCGGUUUGAGUUGGAACAAACUCAAAUUCUUAGACGGUAUAAGAGUUAGCUUCAAAAUUUGUUGGACUACCUCCUAUCCGGUUACCGUUGUUGAGCCACUCGAGGUCACACUACAUAUAUUUAAUUUUAGGUGUGAAGGAAGGUAUAUUAUGAGUUCCAUACGCAUUAAUUAUUAAUAUUUUAGUAAAGAUUAAUUAAUGCAAUUCAAAAUUUAAGAGAGUCGUGCAUAAAGUACAAGAAAUUUCUCUAGAUCUGACAUGUAAAUAUGGAGGUUGUAAUUUAGGGCUUACGAUUAUUAUUUGAGGACACAAGCUAGCAUCAAACAAGUGCUUAUAACUUUGGUGCUAACUUCUCUGAAAAACUACUUUGGUGCUAACAAGUUUUGGCUAGUUGGUUCGUGACUUGAGUUAUGUAUACGAUUUUUUUUUUUUUUUGUUGGUGGUCGGGGUUUGAACCCCAGACCUUACAUAUAUUAUGCAUUGUUCCUACCAACUAAGCUAAACUCACGAGGACAGUUAUGUAUACAAUUAAAAAAUAUGAUUAGUUUUAAUAACUUUUUUUUUGUGAUGUUUGAUUUGAUAUUUGGUGUGUUGGUUAGUCUAUUAGGAACCUUCGGAUUGAGCUUAAAAGGUAUUUGUCAAGGCAUGGGCACCUCUCCGACCACAUGAAUCAUGAUUCAUGAUGUAUUACAUGCAGGAAAAAUGAAAGUGAAAUGAGUAUAAUUAAUCUGUACUUGAAAAUAACAAAUACACAUAUAUUCAAAACUCUUACGCAUUCGGUUAUUGUACUCUUGCUUAUGCAUUUCAAUCUUAUAUAAUUUUGUGGUUUAAUCUCUCUUUAAUGGUGUGAUUGGUUUCAAUCUUAUAUAAUCUACAUUCUUCCAUUCUGAAACUCUGGCAAUGGUUCAGAGUUGGAUAUGGAUCUGUGAGAUUCGUUUUUGUUUCUAUCACCAUGGUUUUUACGCUCAUAUUUCUGCAGUAGAGAUAAACUCAAUUUCUUCUUCUCCUUCUUCAGUUUCAUUUUGGUUGUCUUUAACAUAUUUCUAUUGCAAAUUCUCUCUGAUAGUUUUUGUAAUGAUGCUUUAAGAGCAAGAGAGGCUUGAGUUUGCUGUGUAUUACUAGUGGUUGUGAGAGUAGAGUAAUAUUGUUGGGUGGAAGGGAAAUAAGUCACGGGAGGGUUUCGAGAUCUCAAUAAAAGAACCAAUUGUUAGAGAAGUAGAACUACUUUACUGAAAAUAAAAGAAACAAAGCAGUAAAACAGUAAAUAAUAAAGAAAGAAAAAUUAACUAAAGAAAAUAAAAUAACAUUUGGAUUCAUUUCAUUCCUUUAGAUGGUUUGUCAAAGACACUACAUAUAGGAUUGCUAUUGGAUAAUAAGAAGAUUGUCGUUGACACUUCUACUUUGGGCUGAAAAACACAAGUGAAAGACGAAAAUGUCUGUUGGCAAUUAACUGUCGCCGAUUAAAACACAUAAGUAAUAUUAUCAUGGCUCACGUUCUUUAUCAACUAAGUGGGAAAAGCAUGUGGAACUAUAGUCCCACAUAGCUCCAAUGUAGAUUCGCCCAUGCAGUGGAGCAAAUUAAGGUGGUUUCUUAGUAUGAAUAGGUUGAAAAUUCAUAUUUGUUUAUUCUAUGACUGGUGUUGGAAUCCAAUGGAUAGUUUAACUAGAUCAUUUUUUGAUAGGGGUUGUGUUUUGGGUGUGAUAGGCGAACCGUGUUUGGUUAGGGCUUGUUAUGGGUGUCACUUUUGUUUUGCGGAACUUAGGCUUUGUUUGUGAGUUUGGAGGGGAGAGGAAGGGAAGGCUUUGAGAGGUGGAAAAUAUGAGGGAAAAUUGAGAAAUAUGAUUUAAAUUUUUUAAACGAGUAGUUUUUUAGAGAAGGGUUUAGUAUUAUGAAGAAAAGUUAACCCCCAAAACUCUCCCCUCCCAUUUUUCUCUAUUUUUGCCACUGCUCAUUCCUUUUUUCCCUCCAGCUUGUUGAUAAUAAUAUAUGUUGAUUAAAAAAAACAGGAAUUGUUAGUAGUCUGCAAAUCAAAGAUCAAUACUAAAUGCAGAUACUUUAGUGUGAUAAUACCCUACCAUUAACCUUGAAUACAAAUUAAUCAGCUCUUACGUUCCGUAUAUUGCCAAUGAAUCUAAUAACUUUCUCAAAAAUAAAAUAGAAUAACAACUUAAACACAAAUACAGGAAUAUCCCAAAUCAGGACCCAUUUUGCAAAGUCUUGCUAACCUCAAAAUUUCCCUGUUAUAAUAAGAAACAAGUUUAUUUAUUUAUUUCUUAAUUAUAUCAUAAUAUUUGUACGAAGUUUUCACUGCAUGUUAGCAGUGAUUAAUCUCCGUCGAGGAACUUAUUAGACACACAAGAUAGAUUUUUCUUUCCAUCUAGAUUUUAUUCCAUACGCAUGAGCCAAAAAUUAUAUUGAACCCCUAAUCAGAUACUUAAGGGGUUUAAAUCUUUUACUACUUAAACCAAUUCAUUCCUGGUAACUAGUUUAAUUUAUAUUAAAUGAGAACUGAUAACAGAAUCAUUAAAAGAAGUGCGAAGAUAAAACAUGCAUUCCCAUCCAUAGUUAAUAUGGUUACACCAUAGUUAAUAGAAUUUGCCAUCUUAUAAAAUAAAUUGUAAAUACAUUUGUUUUAAAUCCUCUUAUAAAAAGAAAUUGUAAAUACAUUUGUUUUAAUUCAAAAAUCAUAUUUUAAAAUUUGAGGGUAUCAAAUACAAUUUCCACAUUGAUUAUGCUAUAAUUGUAAUAUAAAUUUUUGUUAACAAAAAAGAUCGUCCUAUCUUGUUUUUUAUUUAUAAUAAAAGUUGUCACAUCUUUGAUUUGUAAUAUAUACCAAUAUUUGUUUUUAUCAUUCAUUAUAUUUGUUGUCUUUUGGGAUUUUAUUUAUUAAAAAAAGGUUAAAAUAUAAAUAAAAACCUUUAAUGAACUUUCAUGAUCUUCAAAGAUUUUUGUUUGAUAUGUUUUUUAAGGUUAAGUAAUCAAUUGAGUGAUGUAAAAGAUGAACACGAUAUAUUAAUUAAAAACAUUUAAUAUUAAUUUCAAUUUUAUAAAUGACUUUUUUUUAAAAGAAAUUUUAAAUGACUUCUUGUAACUCCUAAAUGCUAAAUAAAAUUUAAUUGAAGCUAUUUCAGAACAUUAAAUUUUUAGUUAUAAAAGGGAUCAAACUUUUGUUUAUUUAUAACAUGCAAAGGAUGGAACAUAUGACUAAAAUUCAAUUUUGUGUUUAUGUUUUGAUCAUAUUUCUGUCUUUAUUUCUUGUUGUAACUUGUGGUAUGUCACUUUUACACCAUUUCAUAUUAACAAAAUUUUAUCAUUUUUAGUAACAUUCUCUUUGCUCAUCUGACAUUGCAGGUAAAGUUUACGAAUGUUAUAAUUACAUUGAUUGUCCAGUUGGUUGUCGCGCCUGUUAUAUGAGGUGCAUUGAUGGCCAGUGUAUUCCGUUUAUUAAAAAACUUAUAUUAUUUCAUUUGUACGUCAUAGUAGAGUAAGUAUUUGUAUUUUUAUAUAAUUUACCUCAAAGUUUGAUUUAUAAUUCUCAUUUUUUUUUAAGGUUAAAUAUGUUUUUAGUACUUAUAAAUGUGUCAACUUUUUGUUUUAGUUUCUCUAAAAUUUUCCUUCAACUUUUAGUCCCUAUAAAAUUUUCAAUCUUUACUUUUGGUCUCUCUUUUAAAGUAAACUCAUACGUAUAGAAUUCAUAUUUUUUAAUAAAAGUAUUCAGAAAAAUUCAUAAUAUUAUAAGAAUCACUCCAAAAAUAAAUUAGAAUUGUUUAACCAAACAUGAAUUUAAUAUGAAUUUUAAUAUUUUUGAAGGUUAAAAAUUCAUAUUUAAUUUGUGUUUUGUUAAAAAAUUCUAUUUUUUUUUAGAAAUUUUUUUUUGAAUAUUUUACACAUUUCUGCACAAUUUCAUUAAAAAAAUACAAAAAUUAAAUUAAAAAUAGGGACCAAAAGUAAUGAUUGAAAAUUUUAUAGGGACUAAAAGUUGAAGGAAAAAGUUUUGAGGGACUAAAACGAAAUAUUGACAUAUUUAUAGGGACAAAAAACAUAUUUAACCUUUUUUUUAUAUGCAUAAUGAUUUAUGUUUCUCUCGUAUUCUUGUAUAAUUAUAACUACUUUAAUAAAAAAAAAAUGAUUAUGAAGAUUAAUUAUUUAUUCUACUUCUAUGCUUGAUAUUCCUCUCACUCAAAUGACAUGUCACGAAAAACCUAUGAAAUUUUACUUUGCCACUUACAACCACCAAACGAUGAAGAUCAAAACGAGGUAUUCAGCGAACGCAAACAUUAAAUCAUAAAAGCGACGAGAUGUUUUUACAGUGACCAAAGCGAUGAUGAUGGAUUUCUCAAGUUAGGUCGUAGGGUACUGAUUUUAAAUUGUGUUAGUGUUGGUGUUGGGCUUUAGUGUUGUAGGUAUUGUGAAAGAAGAUUACACUACUUAAAAAACAAAAAUUAGUGAGGGAUAUUUAGUGAGGGAAAACAUGAAAUUCCUCUCUAAUUCCGGCACUAAAUUUUGCGACCAAGGAAUUUAUGAGGAAUUUCAUUUUUUCCGUCACUAAUUUCCCUCGCUAAUUUUGCUUUUUCUAGUAGUGGUUAAUGAUCGUGAUCUCUAAAAACAUCAAGUUGCUUCUGUAUAUGUUUACAUCUUUUGUCCUUGUUCUACAGUGACAAAAAUCCCUAAUUUGUUCAAAACUAAUAUUCUUAAUUAAAUUUUAGAUAUAAAAAUUAAAGUUCAUUUUUAAAAUACUCCAUAGAGUAAUAGCACCUACAUAGAGAAAAGAUGAUAUUAAAGUCACGACUCAAUUCUUAAUCGAAACUAAUCAAACAGAAAAAGAGCCAAGUUUGUGAUGUGAAAAUUGGUGAAGCCAUAGGUCUAAUUUAUAGUAAUUUUUAGAGGGUAAUUUGGUAAACUAAAUGGAUCUAAUUUGGCAUGAGAGUAAUUGCACGCGGUCGUUUUUAAUUUUCGGUUACAUAUAUUCUCUAACAUAAGUCUUACUAUUUUUUCUGUCCUUUUUAAUCAGUUUUAUUUCAUCAAUUUGCUAUUUUUUCGGUUGACUACUAUAUGCAUCCCUUACAUAUGGUCUUUCCUUUUUCUUUUUUCUUUGAGGGGAAGGUUUUUCCUUAUUAUUAAGGAAAAUCAAAUCAUAUUGUGUUUAAUUGUUUUAAUGCCACCUUGAAUAAAUUAUCUUUGACAUAAUUACAACCAAAUCAAUUGUUUCACAUCAUUUGUAAAAAAAUAAUUUGUCCAACAUCAUGAUUAUUAUUAAACUGGUGCUAGUCACACCCCAAAAAAAACAAGUUACACCCGAAUUUAUUUAAAAUUUUACAAUAAUACCAAAAUUGCCCUCUUCAUGUAAAUUUUUAAAAAUCCAUCUUUUAUGAUCAUUCUGAACCCUUAUCCCCUUUCAUCCACAAAUCACCAUAGAUGUGCAACCAAUAUCUGAAUCAACAUCUUUGUUAUUGAUCUGUACUAUAUUCAUAAAGGUUAGUGAAUUUCAUGAAUUUUAUUUUCGAUGAGUUUCUAUUUGUUUAUUGUUUGUUUUGGUAUGAGAUAUGUUCAAUUUAGGUUAGUGUAAAUUAAGUUUACUUAUGUUCAAUUUAGGUUAAUGUAAAUUUAGUUUACUUAUGUCAAUGUAAAUUAAGUUUACUUAUGUUCAAUUUAGGUUAAUGUAAAUUUAGUUUACUUAUGUUUAAUCUAGGUUAAUGUAAAUUUAGUUUACUUACGUUCAAUUUAGGUUAGUGUAAAUUCAGUUUACAUGUAUAUAAGAGGUUAGUGUAAAUUCAGUUUACUUACGUUCAAUCUAGGUUAAUGUAAAUUAAGUUUACUUAUGUUCAAUCUAGGUUAAUGUAAAUUUAGUUUACUUAUGUUCAAUCUAGUUAAUGUAAAUUUAGUUUACUUAUGUUCAAUCUAGGUUAAUGUAAAUUUAGUUUACUUAUGUUCAAUUUAGGUUAAUGUAAAUUCAGUUUACUUACUUUCAAUGUUAAUGUAAAUUAAGUUUACUUAUAUUCAAUUUAGAUUAAUGUAAAUUAAGUUUACUUAUGUUCAAUUUAGGGGUAUAUUAGUCAUUCUGGGGUGUAACUUGUUUUUUUUGGGGUGUGACUAGCACCAGUCUUAUUAUUAUUAUAAAAAUAAAAAUUAAGAAAUGUAUAACAUGAUUUUUGUUUUGUUUUGAAUAAACACUAUUAUACGGUAUUAUUAUUAUACAAUAUACAUUUGAAAAUAGAAGCAAAAGUAUAUUACCUUAAAAAAAACAUAUUAAUUCAAAUUAUAUAAAAAAUUAAUGGUUAUUACCAUAUCUA
This 30588-nucleotide long non-coding RNA is filed under the name Medicago truncatula (barrel medic). Its description in RNAcentral is "long non-coding RNA (MTRU_LNC001895)". The stretch from base 20376 to 20544 matches the Rfam family "MIR2619 microRNA precursor family". Lineage: Eukaryota; Viridiplantae; Streptophyta; Magnoliopsida; Fabales; Fabaceae. The record is from RNAcentral.